This is a long non-coding RNA of Solanum lycopersicum (tomato), 348 nucleotides long. RefSeq lists it as uncharacterized. NCBI's taxonomy places the organism in Eukaryota, Viridiplantae, Streptophyta, Magnoliopsida, Solanales, Solanaceae. The record is from RefSeq and is a predicted model, not a curated record.
CACAGGUUCAAUUUGAUUAGGAAUCAUGAAGAACCUUUCAAGCCUAGCUAUCUAUUUAUUUGUCCUUCUCAUUGUUCUCUGCACCAACACAAGAGGAGUCCAUCUUGAAGCUUCAAAAGAAUGUAAUUAUCCACUUCCAGGAGCUGUCAAACCUUGUGAUCCAGAAAAAUGCAAUACCCAAUGUUUUGACAAGUACCAAGGUAAGCCUGAUCCUCCUGGUAUUACAGGAACAUUUCUUGGAGGAACUUGUUUCGGUGACGAUUGUAAUUGCACCUUUUAUUGUUAAGAUGUACUAUCCUUGAUCUAUGUUCAAAAGUCAUCUUACUUAAUACUUGUAGAGAGAAUCAA